CCUACGGGUGGCAGCAGUGGGGAAUAUUGCGCAAUGGGGGCAACCCUGACGCAGCAACGCCGCGUGAUUGAUGAAGGUCUUCGGGUUGUAAAGCUCUUUUAUCGGGGACGAAUUUUGACGGUACUCGACGAAUAUGCUCCGGCUAACUACGUGCCAGCAGCCGCGGCUAUACGCAGGGAGCAAGCGUUAUCCGGAUUUACUGGGUGUAAAGGGGGUGUAGGCGGGCAUGCAAGCCAGGAGUGAAAUCUGGGGGCUGAACCCCCAAAGUGCGUUUGAAACUGCGUGUCUUGCGUGAUGGAGAGGCAGGCGGAAUGCCCGGUGUAGCGGUGAAAUGCGUAGAUAUUGGGAGGAACA
Molecule: ribosomal RNA, 354 nt
Filed under: uncultured bacterium
Lineage: Bacteria
Description: partial 16S ribosomal RNA
Rfam family: Bacterial small subunit ribosomal RNA
Source: RNAcentral